CCAAAUGACUCUCGGCAACGGAUAUCUCGGCUCUCGCAUCGAUCAAGAACGUAGCGAAAUGCGAUACUUGGUGUGAAUUGCAGAAUCCCGUGAACCAUCGAGUCUUUGAACGCAAGUUGCGCCCGAAGCCAUUAGGCCGAGGGCACGCCUGCCUGGGUGUCGCA
Molecule: ribosomal RNA, 164 nt
Filed under: Cyathostegia mathewsii
Lineage: Eukaryota; Viridiplantae; Streptophyta; Magnoliopsida; Fabales; Fabaceae
Description: 5.8S ribosomal RNA
Rfam family: 5.8S ribosomal RNA
About the family: 5.8S ribosomal RNA (5.8S rRNA) is a component of the large subunit of the eukaryotic ribosome.
Source: RNAcentral